Transfer RNA from Camelus ferus (Wild Bactrian camel), 72 nucleotides. It matches the Rfam family "tRNA". From Rfam's summary of the family: Transfer RNA (tRNA) molecules are approximately 80 nucleotides in length. Their secondary structure includes four short double-helical elements and three loops (D, anti-codon, and T loops). Further hydrogen bonds mediate the characteristic L-shaped molecular structure. tRNAs have two regions of fundamental functional importance: the anti-codon, which is responsible for specific mRNA codon recognition, and the 3' end, to which the tRNAs corresponding amino acid is attached (by aminoacyl-tRNA synthetases). tRNAs cope with the degeneracy of the genetic code in two manners: having more than one tRNA (with a specific anti-codon) for a particular amino acid; and 'wobble' base-pairing, i.e. permitting non-standard base-pairing at the 3rd anti-codon position. The record is from Rfam. NCBI's taxonomy places the organism in Eukaryota, Metazoa, Chordata, Mammalia, Artiodactyla, Camelidae.
GUGUGUAUAGCUCAGUGGUAGAGCAGCUGCUUAGCAUGCACAAGGUCCUGGGUUCAAUCCCCAGUACCUCCA